AGAUGGCGACCGGCGCACGGGUGAGUAACACGUAUCCAACCUGCCGCUUACUCGGGGAUAGCCUUUCGAAAGAAAGAUUAAUACCCGAUGGUAUAAAGAGUUCGCAUGUUCUCUUUAUUAAAGAAUUUCGGUAAGCGAUGGGGAUGCGUUCCAUUAGAUAGUUGGCGGGGUAACGGCCCACCAAGUCUACGAUGGAUAGGGGGUUCUGAGAGGAAGGUCCCCCCACAUUGGAACUGAGACACGGUCCAAACUCCUACGGGGAGGCAGCAGUGAGGAAUAUUGGUCAAUGGACGAGAGUCUGAACCAGCCAAGUAAGCGUGAAGGAUGACUGCCCUAUGGGUUGUAAACUUCUUUUAUAAGGGAAUAAAGUGAGGGACGUGUCCCUUUUUGUAUGUACCUUAUGAAUAAGGAUCGGCUAACUCCGUGCCAGCCGCAGC
This 437-nucleotide ribosomal RNA is filed under the name uncultured bacterium. Its description in RNAcentral is "bacterial SSU rRNA". It matches the Rfam family "Bacterial small subunit ribosomal RNA", at positions 86 to 518 of the family's 1533-position model. The record is from RNAcentral.